RNAcentral lists this antisense RNA (90 nucleotides) under Staphylococcus epidermidis VCU081. RNAcentral describes it as "ctRNA". It matches the Rfam family "ctRNA". From Rfam's summary of the family: Rolling circle replication plasmids contain a number of mechanisms to maintain a low copy number. One of these methods is to transcribe a small RNA called ctRNA (for counter-transcribed RNA) than is transcribed on the opposite strand to RepB the replication initiation protein. ctRNA binds to the mRNA of repB and causes translational inhibition. The record is from RNAcentral. Lineage: Bacteria; Bacillati; Bacillota; Bacilli; Caryophanales; Staphylococcaceae.
ACAAAAAUUACAAAUAACAUAAUCAGUAUAUUUGGUAUGGUCGUUCCACAAACUUUGGUCGGGGAGUGGACGACUUCUUUAUUUUUAUUU